UUUUCCCUGGCCUGUUAGUGAUUGUCAGUGUUGUUGAGCCAACUCUCAAAAAAAGGGUAACUCCGCUGUUUUUGAAUGGAAAAUCGCUUGCGAAUUCCCUGCUGGAAAUAUGAGUCUGCCCACCUAUACUAUAGGUUUAACGUUCCUGGUAACACGGCAGGGUGGGGAAUUU
RNAcentral lists this non-coding RNA (172 nucleotides) under Desulfobacterales bacterium. RNAcentral's name for it is "6S RNA". It matches the Rfam family "6S / SsrS RNA". Rfam says of the family: E. coli 6S RNA was the first non coding RNA to be sequenced, but its function was unknown until recently. It consists of 184 nucleotides that fold into an extended hairpin structure with a large single-stranded internal bulge. Lineage: Bacteria; Pseudomonadati; Thermodesulfobacteriota; Desulfobacteria; Desulfobacterales. The record is from RNAcentral.